AUGAUCAAGAAUUGCAUCUCUACUAUGAGGACUGCUAUCAACCCUUCUGGAUGAAGAUACCGCAUGAAACAUGUGUACAGACUGGAUAACUAGUAUGGCUGUCCGCAUUAUUUGUCUUGCACUGGAACCACCACCAUAAUUCUCAGCAGGGGGUGAUAACGGCAACUGCAUUUCAAGGUCCAUAUGAGGAUCAUUAACCUCUUGCAUCCUGUACAGUACAGCACAAAUCCAACUAUAAAUAGGCACACAAUAUACAGAUUAAUAUUAUGAUAUGCCAGAAAUUAUUUUUUGGUAACAAAAACCGUGAUUGAUGACCUACCUUGUUCAAAGACAGAGAGAAAUAGAAAGAUGCUGCGAAUGCUUGCUAUGUAAAGGCCAAAGGGUGUGUAAUUAUAUAUAGGCAGAAAAGAGAGAAGAGGGAUACCACACGCGGCAUGGUGCAUGGUUGUGUUAUUACUUUUAAAUUUCAAGGAUAUUCAAUUACAGCAUCCAUGAAAUGCAACAAUCAUAUCUACGAAAGUCUAAUAGAUAUUGCAACGAAUAUACACGAAUAAAAAGUAUGUAUGAUUGGUCAAUUUGUCGACAAUGAAAUAUGCAAAUGUUAU
RNAcentral lists this long non-coding RNA (605 nucleotides) under Helianthus annuus (common sunflower). Its description in RNAcentral is "hypothetical non coding rna". The record is from RNAcentral. Lineage: Eukaryota; Viridiplantae; Streptophyta; Magnoliopsida; Asterales; Asteraceae.